Gorilla gorilla gorilla (western lowland gorilla) is the source of this 78-nucleotide microRNA precursor. Ensembl annotates it as microRNA 1286. The record is from Ensembl. NCBI's taxonomy places the organism in Eukaryota, Metazoa, Chordata, Mammalia, Primates, Hominidae.
UGUCCUCUGGGGACUCAGCUUGCUCUGGCUGCUGGAUUGAAUUAGCUGCAGGACCAAGAUGAGCCCUUGGUGGAGACA